UUUGUUCUAGUUAGGUUCAUUCUUUUUUACUGUGGACUGUUUUAAUUUUCCGCGUUUGAGGAAUGUCUUUUAGUCAUAGGGAUAGACUAUUAGAAUGUUAACCGAGCUGAAAUCAGGUUUAGACCUGGUAUCCUAUUAAUUAUUUACCAAAAGAAUUCAUUAUUAUUAUUGUAACAUAAGCGUAAAAAACUUAUAAAACAACUUUUAACAACGGAUCUCUUGGUUCUCGCAUCGAUGAAGAACGUAGCAAAGUGCGAUAACUAGUGUGAAUUGCAUAUUCAGUGAAUCAUCGAGUCUUUGAACGCAACUUGCGCUAAAUGGUAUUCCAUUGAGCACGCCUGUUUCAGUAUCAAAAACACCCCACAUUCAUAAUUUUGUUGUGAAUGGAACUGAAAAUUUCGACUUUUUUGAAUUCUUUAAACUUAUUAGGCCUGAACUAUUGUUCUUUCUGCCUGAACAUUUUUUUAAUAUAAAGGAAUGCUCUAGUAUUAAGACUAUCUCUGGGGCCUCCCAAAUAAAAGUUUCUUAAAUU
RNAcentral lists this small RNA (532 nucleotides) under Mucor hiemalis. RNAcentral describes it as "eukaryotic LSU rRNA". The stretch from base 200 to 352 matches the Rfam family "5.8S ribosomal RNA". Lineage: Eukaryota; Fungi; Mucoromycota; Mucoromycetes; Mucorales; Mucoraceae. The record is from RNAcentral.